AAGGCCCUGGCCUUCUCCUGUGAGCACCCCCAGCCCAAGCCCUGUGCGUGGCUGACGGGGGCUUAAGGCAGGAGACCAGUGACCAUCCAGGUCUCUCCGCUUGAAACGAUAAAACAAACUCAGGAGACUCACUCACAGAGGAUUCCGUCCCGUCCCCAGAAAGAACCUCCGCUUACCCCCGAUGGAAAAGCAGCACAGCCCCCUCCCAAGAAAGGCGAGUUUGGAAGCCCUUGCAGGCCAGAAGCCCUCUCUCCAAAUUUGCAAACCACGGACCCUCGCCUGCCUCUCUUCCGGCAGUGAAGGGAGGGAACCAUCAACGACGUGUCCUGCAGCCGCCCUGGGCCCUGUGAACUGAGAUUUCUGGGGUACUGCCUCCUCCCCUGUGCUCCCAGUCCAUGCCCAGCCAGCCGUUCAGAGGAGCAAGGGUAGGCUGCGCCUUCAGGUGGGAGACGGGCAGACUCCGAGGGCUGGGGACAGUUCUGGCCACCAGGAUGCAGCGGUGUGUCCCACCAAGGACACCUCCUGCCCUGCACCCCCAGCCUGCCUCAGUGACUCUCCCCAAAAGCCCCUCGGCCUUCUUUGCCGAGGGCAGACGCAGAGGGCACAGGUCUGCGGGGUGCAGGCCGGCUAACGCUGCCUCGCUGCUCAGUUUCUCCCUGGUCCUGCCGUCACCCAGGGCCCGUCCGUCACCCAGGGCCAGCACAAAGCCCAAUGCAGGGCCCUCCUCUUCCUUCAAUUCAGGGAGAAACACGGCAAAACUGAAAGCCACCGACCAACCAGCCAGGCUGCGGUGACUUGGAUCUGAACAGAUUUAUUUUGUGUAUUUUUUUCUUUUUCUCAGUUUCGUAGCAAAUGAAAAAAGAACUCAACGAAAACCAACUACACAACAAAACUUUCAACGAGUCGGCGCGCCUUCCACUCCGAGUGCUCAGGGGAGGGGUGUGGAGCGGCUGGAAUCCCACUGAUGGCCCCUGAGGGCCUCCGAAAACGGGCAGAUCCCCCAGGCGCCUGGCCCAGCCUACAGGGCCUGGAGCACCCGCCUCCUCGCCCUCUCUCCCGGCUAGUCCAAAGAGCGACGAAGCAUUAAAGAAAGAUUCCACAAACAAAACGAAACACAAUUUAAAUUAAAAUAAAAACACUUUCUCCACCCGCCCCAUGCCAGAAGGCUCUGGCCCAAGCCUCCUCUUAAAAAAAAAAAUUUUCUGCUAGAAAUACUGUGCAUUACUUUUUUCUUUCACUUCUCUUGAAGGUUAAAACAAGAUGUAUUUCCCCAGGAGUUACAGAUAUGUUCUGGUGCAUAGAGAGACAGCAGCUCGGGAUCCGGGCCAGCCCCCACCCGACUGAGCACAGGACUCACCCCCCUCCCCCCACCCCCGGUUGAGCAUAGUAGGACAGCAGGCCUGGACACAGCACGGGUGACGUCCCUGGCUUCGACCUCCAAGGAACGCCGGUAGCAGGGUCGGGGGCAAGCGGGGAGGGGGCAGGCAGGGGCCGGGCCCCUCCUGGCGAGCGACUCAUGCUGUGACUCGCGACUGAGGGCGGACCCCGGCUGGGGAAAGAAGGGGCUUCCUCCAAGGUUUUCUUUUCUAAUCACCAAGCAUAAUAAUUAUAAAUACUUCGAAAAUAAGACCGAUUUUAAAACGGGGAGGGGAAGUUAAAAAAGGCAAGGAAAGGGAGGCUGAGAAGAGAACGAAGGAGGGCGGGGGCAGGCAGGGGCCACCCGGGAAGGGACGGCAGCGCGGUCCCUCUAGGCUGGCAGGGCGAAGGUGGGAACGGAGAACCACGUUCAACGUAUGUACAAGCGGACGCUUGGAAAGAAGUUAGACCUGGCUCAAGUUUCCUUAGAAAUCACCGUUCUCCGCUCAACCUCAGGACGGCGACCCGGGCCGACGCGCGCGAACGGGGACCGGGAGCGAAGGGGCCUCCAGCCCCGCGCCCGCAGACUUGGCACCGGGGCCAGCACGGCCGGG
Molecule: long non-coding RNA, 1970 nt
Filed under: Homo sapiens (human)
Lineage: Eukaryota; Metazoa; Chordata; Mammalia; Primates; Hominidae
Description: non-protein coding MAFA-AS1:10
Source: RNAcentral